AUUGAACGCUGGCGGCAGGCCUAACACAUGCAAGUCGAGCGGAUGAAGGGAGCUUGCUCCUGGAUUCAGCGGCGGACGGGUGAGUAAUGCCUAGGAAUCUGCCUGGUAGUGGGGGAUAACGUCCGGAAACGGGCGCUAAUACCGCAUACGUCCUGAGGGAGAAAGUGGGGGUUCUUCGGACCUCACGCUAUCAGAUGAGCCUAGGUCGGAUUAGCUAGCUGGUGGGGUAAAGGCCUACCAAGGCGACGAUCCGUAACUGGUCUGAGAGGAUGAACAGUCACACUGGAACUGAGACACGGUCCAGACUCCUACGGGAGGCAGCAGUGGGGAAUAUUGCACAAUGGGCGAAAGCCUGAUACAGCCAUGCCGCGUGUAUGAAGAAGGUCUUCGGAUUGUAAAGCACUUUAAGUUGGGAGGAAGGGAAGUAAGUUAAUACCUUGAUGUAUUGACGUUACCAGCAGAAUAAGCACCGGCUAACUCCGUG
This 484-nucleotide ribosomal RNA is filed under the name uncultured bacterium. RNAcentral's name for it is "partial 16S ribosomal RNA". It matches the Rfam family "Bacterial small subunit ribosomal RNA", at positions 30 to 507 of the family's 1533-position model. The record is from RNAcentral.